RNAcentral lists this ribosomal RNA (876 nucleotides) under Triticum aestivum (bread wheat). RNAcentral's name for it is "partial small subunit ribosomal RNA". The record is from RNAcentral. Lineage: Eukaryota; Viridiplantae; Streptophyta; Magnoliopsida; Poales; Poaceae.
AUGUACCUCGACUCCCUGCUGCUGCCAACCGACAAAAAAGAAAUGCGGAAGAUUGCAAAGACAAUGGACAAGACCUCAUUACCACGAGCAAACCAUCUCAAAGAGAGUGACCUAGCGAAAAUAGCUAGAGCAGACAUGAAAAGGGACGGAAAAGCACGACCAGAUGACUAUGAAUUUGGCAAAAUACACAUAGCAGUAGAACAUCGCAAACAACAGCAACACCAGCACACGACCAAACUGCUACCACCUCCACCCAAACGCCGGCGCAAACCACGUGUCGGCACCAGUCGAAGCAGGGAACCAAACAAAAGCAUCAGCACAGGAGCAGAAGAAAGAUUCCAAAGGAUAAACAAAUUGUUGGAAAAAGUACUCCAUGAAGCAGAACAGAUACCCGCAGUAACCACCAGGGCUGAACACCAAUGCAACGAAAAGGAAAAGAUAUUGGAUGAAAAAAACAAGAACCUAGUCGUGCAACAAACAAUUGCCCUGAUGGAUUCAUUAGAACAACUCAGACAAUUUCAGGACAUAGUUUGCACAAGGUACCUGACAGACAACGCGACCCUGCAGACACUAGAGCAAGCAGAUCCAGCAGCCUCAAGUGGACUAGCCGAUGCCAACCGCACAAAUGAAAUCAUAGCCACAACAGAACCAAGAGAAAGGAGAAAAAAAAGAAAGAAGAAGAAGACGAAGAGAGGAAGAGAAGAACAAAAUCAAGGGACGAUGAACUCCAACAGCAGGAUGGUGUCAACAACCCCAAAAACACAAAUGAACGGAACAAACAAAGCAACCUCACAACAGACAAUGCUACAACAACAACUACCCCAACACAAGCACAAGAUACGAUCAACGUCAGAACCUGUGAAGAGACUCAGCUGA